RNAcentral lists this long non-coding RNA (2332 nucleotides) under Nicotiana tabacum (common tobacco). RNAcentral describes it as "long non-coding RNA (NTAB_LNC002998)". Lineage: Eukaryota; Viridiplantae; Streptophyta; Magnoliopsida; Solanales; Solanaceae. The record is from RNAcentral.
ACCCAAGCCCAAUCCUAAUCAAAUAAUCUAUUAGACUUAGACGAUUACCCAACAGUCCAACACUCAGAGGCAGACUCAGUUAAUACACUAGGGCUGGGGCCUGGGAGAUAUCAUUGAGAAUUCGAGUUCGAGAUAGGGUAUUAGGGUUUGCUUACUGCUUCAGCCUUCGGUGCUUAGGAGAUAUCAUCGAGAACUCACUCCUCACAAAUUUAUGAUCCUCACCUUCUGAAUCGGGAGAAUCAUGUUUAUUGACAAAGACCAUAUUAAUUUGCUAUGAAUGUGGUAAAUCUGCGAUGUUCCACUUAUUACGUUUAACUUGGGAAAAAGUAGUUGUUUUACUUAAACUAUGGAAGGAGGUAACUUAAUUUCUUGUUGGAGUCUGAUGUAUUUUUAUUUGGACGCGGUAAUUUAUUUUCUUGAACUUUUGUUUUGUGGCAGGAGUAGGACCUCUAAAUUCUAAUAUCAUUAUUGUGGCAAAACAUCUGCGUCAUUAUCAAUCAUGAAUUACCUGGAAUACACCCCUCUUGAUCGGUAAGCUUUGACAUGUAAUGACAUUCAAAUACCUGGAAUACACCCCUCUUCACUGAGGCUCGGUGCAAUCACGCACAACACUUCAUAUGUUUACUAUUUUGCAACACCCUAUUAUGGAACUUUUUUUUAGCAUUAAGGGCUGAUUGGUGAGAAAAUAAUACAAUUUUGUUAACUUCAUUAAAAGAAAAAGGAAUCCAUGUAUUUAAGUUUAAAAUAGAAGGCCUCUUUUAAUAUUGGCUGAUGAGGUAAUUGCUUUUAUGAACAUGCUCUGGAUUGAGUACAUCUAGGAUAAAAAGGAUAUGGGCUCCUAUUCAAUAACCUCUGCAGAUCCUGAAAAAAAUCACAGGGAACUUACAGAGUUCAAUCUGUAUAUACCAUUUUUUGUUUUAUUUAUCAAGGCCAAUCGACAAUGGAUGUACUGGCGCUCUGCUUUGGAUAGUAACAAGCUUUGACUGUGAACUCCCUUUCCCAUUCANCUCUACUUUAGUUUGUCUCCUCUGGGGUUUUGUGCUUGUUCCAGUUUAAGUAGCAACUCUAUUGCGGUGUUUAGCUUCCAAUCCCGCUAAUACUUUCUGAACAUAAUACCCCAUGGGUUCCCAAUUUUGCAGUAAUCUAUGCAUGCUUUAGGGUGCAUCCCAAGUUGGAAUUGUUCUUGGAAUUCUUCCUUUAAGGUAUAUUUGUCUUCUUUAAGGAAUUAUUUCAAUCCAUUUGUUGUGCCAGAGGCUAAUAUGUUCUUCACCUCCUUCAUCAAAGUAGAUGUGGGAGCUGAAUUAUUCCCAAUAUAUGUGCUUCCAGGGUGUGAACCCACGUAGGCUGUUGUCACCUUUGUGCACCAGUGAUUCUGCUCUCCAAAUUUAGCAAGUUCAAACCCUUUUCCUGAGUCCCAUUAUCUUUGUCAAGAGGGUUUAGGUCCAGAUGUGUCACUUGCAUGAUUUGAUUAUAAAUGCUUUUUUUCAAUAAUAGUGGCAUCCGGUCCAGCUUACGCGCUCCUUCAUUAUUCCACCAGGUACCUGCCAUCUCUCCCAAUAAUAGGUACCGGGUAACUCUGCCCACCAAAUGGGAAAAAAUCACCUUGUGCUUUUGACUAUAAAUGCUUCUAAUCCUGGUCUCUACUCUUCUGUCCUACUUGAUUGGUCAUCCAACCUUUGAUUUAGAGAAUAGAAGAGCUUUAACACACGUAGAAGUAUGUUGUGCUUAUCUUGAUGUUCGCAUUCUUAUAUUUUCUUUCUCAGUCAGACAGAUAAAGAAAGUUACACCUUCCUCCCAAUAUGUAGACAUAAUAGUAGGAAGCUAGAAAAAUUAAAUCUCACUAUUUUCAAUCAUGAAAAAACUUUUUUGUGCUCAUUAUUGUAUAUUUAUACUUUUAUAUUCUUCACCCUCCCUCAUGUUGUGAAGCCUCAUUUAGUUCUUUUAACUUCAGUUGUUUAUGACAGUAUCCAGGAAGUUGUUGGUUCGAUUUUCUUCUUGUUGUGUUGUUACUAGUAGCUAAUAUAGUUUCUUCUUUCGCGGGAUUAUAAAGUAACUUUUGGUUGCAAAUUUUUGAUUAUCUUGGAAGAUCUUCGGACAUCGAUUCUUCUUCACCUGUUGAAUAUCUAAGCUGCAGAUCGAGGUGGUGAAUCCAGACCUACGGCUGGAGUAUUAAAUCUGAAACAAGUGUAUUUUUGUUCAUAAUGUAAUUUUUUUCUAUAUUUUUGUUCCAGUCGGACAACUAAUUGAAGAUCUUGGUGGACAAAAAAUAGUUGUUAAACAGUGCACCGAAAUAUUGAUUAUUUCAUUGUUAAACCGAAACCGUACCGAAACC